GAUGAACGCUGGCGGCGUGCCUAAUACAUGCAAGUCGAGCGAACAGACGAGGAGCUUGCUCCUCUGACGUUAGCGGCGGACGGGUGAGUAACACGUGGAUAACCUACCUAUAAGACUGGGAUAACUUCGGGAAACCGGAGCUAAUACCGGAUAAUAUAUUGAACCGCAUGGUUCAAUAGUGAAAGACGGCUUUGCUGUCACUUAUAGAUGGAUCCGCGCCGCAUUAGCUAGUUGGUAAGGUAACGGCUUACCAAGGCGACGAUGCGUAGCCGACCUGAGAGGGUGAACGGCCACACGGGAAAUGAGACACGGGUCAGACGCCCACGGGAGGCAGAAGUGGGGAAUUUUGGACAAGGGGCGCAAGCCUGAGCCAGCCAUACCGCGUGGGUGAAGAAGGGUUUUGGGUUGGAAAGACCUUUUGUUGGGAAAGAAAAAAAGGAGGAGAAUAACAAGCAGUUCUGAAGGGACCCAAAUAAAAAGCCCCGGAUAACUUCGUG
Molecule: ribosomal RNA, 497 nt
Filed under: uncultured bacterium
Lineage: Bacteria
Description: partial 16S ribosomal RNA
Rfam family: Bacterial small subunit ribosomal RNA
Source: RNAcentral